This 26-nucleotide non-coding RNA is filed under the name Homo sapiens (human). Lineage: Eukaryota; Metazoa; Chordata; Mammalia; Primates; Hominidae. The record is from RNAcentral.
UCCAUGUUGUGUAUAGGUGUGUUUCA